RNAcentral lists this ribosomal RNA (496 nucleotides) under uncultured bacterium. RNAcentral's name for it is "partial 16S ribosomal RNA". It matches the Rfam family "Bacterial small subunit ribosomal RNA", at positions 28 to 507 of the family's 1533-position model. The record is from RNAcentral.
GAUGAACGCUGGCGGCGUGCCUAAUACAUGCAAGUCGAGCGAACGGACGGGAAGCUUGCUUCUCUGAUGUUAGCGGCGGACGGGUGAGUAACACGUGGAUAACCUACCUAUAAGACUGGGAUAACUUCGGGAAACCGUAGCUAAUACCGGAUAAUAUUUUGAACCGCAUGGUUCAAAAGUGAAAGACGGUCUUGCUGUCACUAUAGAUGGAUCCGCGCUGCAUUAGCUAGUUGGUAAGGUAACGGCUUACCAAGGCAACGAUGCAUAGCCGACCUGAGAGGGUGAUCGGCCACACUGGAACUGAGACACGGUCCAGACUCCUACGGGAGGCAGCAGUAGGGAAUCUUCCGCAAUGGGCGAAAGCCUGACGGAGCAACGCCGCGUGAGUGAUGAAGGUCUUCGGAUCGUAAAACUCUGUUAUUAGGGAAGAACAUAUGUGUAAGUAACUGUGCACAUCUUGACGGUACCUAAUCAGAAAGCCACGGCUAACUACGUG